UACAGAGGGGGCGAGCGUUAUUCGGAAUUAUUGGGCGUAAAGGGCGCGUAGGCGGCUUUUCAAGUGACGGGUGAAAUCCCUCGGCUUAACCGAGGAACUGCCUGUCAGACUGGAAGGCUUGAGACCGGGAGAGGUGAGUGGAAUUCCCAGUGUAGCGGUGAAAUGCGUAGAUAUCUGGAGGAAUACCGGUAGCGAAGGCGGCAUCCUGGACCGGCAUUGACGCUGAGGAGCGAAAGCCAGGGGAGCAAACGGG
RNAcentral lists this ribosomal RNA (253 nucleotides) under uncultured bacterium. RNAcentral describes it as "partial 16S ribosomal RNA". It matches the Rfam family "Bacterial small subunit ribosomal RNA", at positions 524 to 776 of the family's 1533-position model. The record is from RNAcentral.